Molecule: unclassified non-coding RNA, 279 nt
Filed under: Hevea brasiliensis (rubber tree)
Lineage: Eukaryota; Viridiplantae; Streptophyta; Magnoliopsida; Malpighiales; Euphorbiaceae
Source: RNAcentral
AACCCACUUUACAUUCUUUCUCUGACAUAAGUAUUUAUGAGUUGCAUAUAAGGGAUUUUCAUUGGCUAAUAUAUCCCAUCCUUCAGGUUUUAAAGUAUCAGAAUCAAGAUUCACCAAUAAUGUCCUCUUGCCAUCUGAUGAGAGCCCUCUGGCAUAUGGAUCAUUUGCAAAGCAUUUUUCAAUGCGUAAGCUGCAUGGAUGGUAGACAGAUACUUCAUACACAUAAUAACAACCUUCCCAAUCUGUUGGCCCUUUAAUGCUCCAAACUCCAUUAACCUC